RNAcentral lists this ribosomal RNA (268 nucleotides) under uncultured bacterium. RNAcentral describes it as "partial 16S ribosomal RNA". It matches the Rfam family "Bacterial small subunit ribosomal RNA", at positions 335 to 590 of the family's 1533-position model. The record is from RNAcentral.
ACUCCUACGGGAGGCAGCAGUGGGGAAUAUUGCACAAUGGGCGCAAGCCUGAUGCAGCCAUGCCGCGUGUAUGAAGAAGGGCCUUCGGGUUGAUAAAGUACUUUUCAGUCAGAUGAGGAAGGUGGGUAUGUUAAUAGCAUACUCAUUUGACGUUAGCUGCAGAAGAAGCACCGGCUAACUCCGUGCCAGCAGCCGCGGUAAUACGGAGGGUGCGAGCGUUAAUCGGAAUUACUGGGCGUAAAGCGCAUGCAGGUGGUUUGUUAAGUCG